Molecule: ribosomal RNA, 262 nt
Filed under: uncultured bacterium
Lineage: Bacteria
Description: partial 16S ribosomal RNA
Rfam family: Bacterial small subunit ribosomal RNA
Source: RNAcentral
GUCCACGCCCUAAACGAUGUCAACUGGUUGUUGGGAAGGUUCCUUCUCAGUAACGUAGCUAACGCGUGAAGUUGACCGCCUGGGGAGUACGGCCGCAAGGUUGAAACUCAAAGGAAUUGACGGGACCCGCACAAGCGGUGGAUGAUGUGGUUUAAUUCGAUGCAACGCGAAAACCUUACCUACCCUUGACAUGUCUGAAAUCCUGCAGAGAUGUGGGAGUGCUCGAAAGAGAAUCAGAACACAGGUGCUGCAUGGCCGUCGU